RNAcentral lists this long non-coding RNA (1050 nucleotides) under Pan paniscus (pygmy chimpanzee). RNAcentral's name for it is "lncRNA (ENSPPAG00000044313.1)". Lineage: Eukaryota; Metazoa; Chordata; Mammalia; Primates; Hominidae. The record is from RNAcentral.
GUGAGUACUUAGUAGUAGACAAAGGUAUAAAACAUAAAAUUUAGAAUAAGUCAGACCUUAACAAUUUUCUGCUAUGAAUUAUUAGAAAACUAUUAUUACCAUAUUUCAAUGUUUUACUGCCUAAGUUGAGCUCACAAGUAAUUACUGUUAUUUCUGUUUCAGAGAACCAUUUUGAAGAAGGUUCAACUAGUCUUACAUAUUUUAUAUGGCAAAAUAUUCUUAUAUAUUCUGUGUUCCCAGGUGAAUUUAGAUGAAUGCAGAGGGCAUUUGGGGGUGCAAAAGUAACUGAGCGAUGAGAUGCUUAUAAAGCAGAUAUCAGUUAUCCUCUGUUCUUUGAAUGAUAUCUCAUAAAGGCAAAGAAAUGACACUGGAUAAUGCAAGGCGGUAAGAGAAGAGGAGACAGUGGCUCCGUUUGCUGCUGGGGAAAUUUUUCCUGUGGAAUGGACACAGAAGAAGAAGCAGAGGGCUUUCUCUCUGUGAGGUCAUACACUCUGGAGCCAGUGGUACAAGUCUCCAUCUGACUGGCCAGGAAGAAGGUAGCAUCUGCCCAUUCAUAUACAGAAGACCAGGUGAAAUUAUUUGAAUAACACUCACUCAACUCAAUAACAGAGUGACCCAAAGGUCAACAUCCCUAUUUUCUGGCAUCAGUAAUGUUACAGACCCAUCCUCUUCAUUUACCAACCCCUACCUUCUGUUAAUUUGUUAACACUGAAUUAUAUUUCCUCCACAAUUCAGAAUAUACCCUGAAAGUUCCCUGACAUAUUAAGCUAAAACUACCCUCUGCUUCAAUCUUUGCCCCACAUUUUGCUUGGACUUUUCCCUUGGUGCUUAAUAAUGAGGCACAACCGAUAUUGGUAAUUUAUAUAUGCAAGUACUGUGUUCUUCUGCCAGAAGUUUGAGAUUCUUGAAAGUUUGGGAAUGCACAUUUUUAAUCUCUCAAUGCUAGUUACUAAAGCAGGAUCAGGAAAAACAGAAAUCUUCAUUUAGCAACAUUGAUUGAUUACCAAACAAUUAUGGCCACAGAAAGGGAGUUUUGAGUCCUAUCGUCUU